RNAcentral lists this ribosomal RNA (188 nucleotides) under Paenibacillus sp. cl123. Its description in RNAcentral is "16S rRNA. Bacterial SSU". It matches the Rfam family "Bacterial small subunit ribosomal RNA", at positions 1 to 187 of the family's 1533-position model. Lineage: Bacteria; Bacillati; Bacillota; Bacilli; Caryophanales; Paenibacillaceae. The record is from RNAcentral.
CCUUAAUGGAGAGUUUGAUCCUGGCUCAGGACGAACGCUGGCGGCGUGCCUAAUACAUGCAAGUCGAGCGGAUUUAUUCCUUCGGGAAUAGGUUAGCGGCGGACGGGUGAGUAACACGUAGGCAACCUGCCUGUAAGAUCGGGAUAACUACCGGAAACGGUAGCUAAGACCGGAUAGCUGGUUUCUUC